Molecule: non-coding RNA, 135 nt
Organism: Triticum aestivum (bread wheat)
Lineage: Eukaryota; Viridiplantae; Streptophyta; Magnoliopsida; Poales; Poaceae
Source: Rfam
AAUAUACUUCCUCCGUCCCAAAAUUCUUGUUUUAGAUUUAUCUAGAUACGGAUGUAUCUAACACUAAAAUGUGAAUAGAUACAUCCAUAUGUAGAGAAAUCUAAGACAAGAAUUUUGGGAUGAAGGGAGUAAUUU